UUUCGCUUUUACAUUUUCGCAACUUUGAUAGCCGCAGUGUUUCUCCUGCGACUUUGUAGUUUCGUUUUCAAGUAUUUGAUAUUCAGUUUUCGUUUAAGUCUUUCGUCAUUUCUGUUAUCAUGUUUUCAAUUGUUGCUUUGUUAUUGUCUUUGAUUAUGUCUGAGUAGUGAACUGUAUUUCUGAGGAUGGGAUAGAAUAGUUGUGGUUUACUUGGUCGUUUUAGGUGGUUGAGUUUAGAAUACUAGAAUCCCUUCUGGAUUAGUUGCGCUUAUUGCUUAUUUCACUGGCUAAUGUGGAGUAUGAGUCCAGACGUCCAGCGCUCAGAAGGCGUUUAAUGGGCGUUGGAUCCUAUUAAUUCCAGAGAUAUCUGACUCUACCCCAAGGGAUUGGCUGUAGAGAGGGUAUUGACUUUAACAUGUUGAUUCGAUAAUGCCUGCUUAGUUAGAGAUCGCUAAAGGGAUUUAGGUCAGUGUCUAGCUUUACUUGAGGAUUUCUAUCACGGGAGUGAAUUAAUCUGUUGUUGAACUUGUUGUCUAGGGAUAGCUUCUGUGAAGUUUUGUCAACCGCCUGAAUAGAUUAAGUAGACCACACUAUUCGAUUACCCCAUCCUUAGGAAUCGUUUAUCCAUUUGAUUGCCUGUUAUCAUUUCUGCUUUGUCAUUCACUUGCCUGCUAUUGCCAUUCCUGCUUUUAAUUUCACUUCAUUUCUGUUAUUGCAUACUAGGACUGUUAGAACCAACCAACUAUCUGCUUGGCUUGACUUAGAGCUUUCUGAUCAUAUCUCAUCUGUUUGCAUCACACCGAAUUGGAUUGACAUCCUAAAAUACUACAACGACAAGAUAGUGUUUUAGGGAUUAAUUGACAAAAAUCCUACUAUCAACGUAUAAGGGAAAGGAUAGGGCAUCCUUGAACACAAAGUUGACUUCGAGGUACAUGGGUCCAUUGAGGAUUCUGGAAAGAGUCGGCCCUGUUGCAUACUGAUAUAACCCUAUUUUUACUGCUUUUAGCUAUGAUAUAGGUAUAGGUUUUAGAGUCAAUUUGUUAUUUUUAGAGUCUUUUCUAGUACUUUUCAGGUCUUUACAUGUUUGGGAUUCAUUUGGAGAUAAUGGAGGAUUCUGGAGAAAAAGAGAGAAUUUAUGCAGCUGAAAAAAUCCGGAGACGAAAAACCGCGUAGGUGUCGAACGAAACCAAUACCUGACGUGAUGCAAACCCCGGAUUCCACCAAGACAAGACUCACUGAUUCAAAGACUAAAACUAUGCGGAAGUGGUAAUGAUGAUGAAGUAACCGAAUUGAUGUUGAAUCGACAACACCGAGGGCUAGAGAAUAUGAUUUAAGGGCUAUUCCUCGCGAGGAUCAGAGACUCUACACGAAACCUAAGUGGUUUGAUUCCACAAACUACUUAGAACUCCCAAAAACAAUGAUUUGAUUCAAGACAAAGUAUUGAAGCAAAACAAACUGAAUUUUCUUAUUAAUCAAAGCGUGAAUACAAAGUAGAGAAACAAAAAGCUUAAAUAGAAAAAUGCAGCAAAGGUCUAAAAUUU
RNAcentral lists this small RNA (1541 nucleotides) under Arabidopsis thaliana (thale cress). RNAcentral describes it as "ATSL041290". Lineage: Eukaryota; Viridiplantae; Streptophyta; Magnoliopsida; Brassicales; Brassicaceae. The record is from RNAcentral.